Molecule: long non-coding RNA, 1423 nt
Organism: Triticum dicoccoides
Lineage: Eukaryota; Viridiplantae; Streptophyta; Magnoliopsida; Poales; Poaceae
Exons: 4
Source: RefSeq, a predicted model, not a curated record
UUGCGCCGCCGGAUCAUGGUUGACCGACGUGGGGUAUCGGAUUGCAACAGCGGCUGCGCUGGUUGUGCACGGACAAUGUGGACAGCGCCUUGAUGGUCCGUUCGGUCGCACGAACGCGAGCGACACGGCCGGAUUGGGCACGGACUCCAGCGGCGCGGCCCGAUGGGGUGUGGCGGUCAACAACCAUGAAGUUCAAUCACGAAUGUGAUUGAUUGAGCCGGUGGACGGCGCCUCCGCUGCUGGGUUCUCCAUGAAGGCAGCGCUGCUUGGUCAGGAUUGAUUGAUCUCUAUGACCUUAUCCCCCGAUAUUCUCCUCCUAAGCCUCCAGCUUUUACCUUCGCCCAAUCUACACAAGCCAGCAGCAACAAGGAAAGUUGAAAUGCUUAAUUCUGCUCCGAAGUGGCAUGAUCCCAAUCAAGACGAACUAUGUGUCCUGCAAAUAAAUCAUUAGGAUUUCAUUUUUAGUCAUCUCUAAGAUAUUUUGACUACCAAUAAAUUAUUCUGGUACACAUUUCGUUGCUUAGUUGAUUCAAGGGUACUAAUUACUGCAUGUGUUUCUGAUUAAAAAAAAGCAAUCGAUGAGGGGAUCCAUGAGUGUUUCUCAUUCAAACUACAUGUAUCUUCAUAUGUUGAAUCGAGUCAUACAAUAAUCAAUGAGGGGAUACAUGAAUUGCGGAAGGCAGAGGCUAUGAGCCGGAGCGCAGGAUACUGUCAUCAUUAUUGCCUCUACUUGCAUAGUCUGCUGCCACGCCCAUAACCCCUGGUACAUACAGAUGAAUAUGCGGCGGCGAGCUCGCACGGAUUGGCGGAUACGUCGGCUUCCAAGAGAAGCUCGCUCGGCACGGCCAUAUUCUCACUGGCCAACGGCGGAGACGUGACUGACCAGGUUUGUUUUCGGGACGGCGACCAUGGAUGAAUAAGAUCGACGAUGCACUGAUCAGUUCAGCAGAGCCUUGUUCUUUUCGGUCGAUGUUGAAGCCUGCUCCAUGUUCUCCAAUCACAUGGAGCUGUUUUUUGAAGCCCAUCAAUCACAUGCUAGACCAUUCCACGGUGAAAGUGUUCUUCAACUCUGAAAAACUGUUCUCUUUAUUGAUCACAUGGAUUGAUCAAGAGGGUAUCACAAUAUGGUCAAUGGAAGCAGCAGCUAACAUAUGGAUCAUAUGGGCGAUCAAAGAGAAAAUCACUUCUCUCUGUAAAAAAAAGAGAAUUACUCAAGAGUUUUGUAGUAGUAUAUUUUCCUCUGUUACCAUGUGUGGUCAAAGGGAAUGUACUACCAUCUUUAAUGAAGGAUAUGUAAUACCUGUGCGUUGACUCAUUUCUCUAAGUAAUUUUUCUCUGUAUCCAUGUUUAUUUUGGAUGGACCGGUAGUCGUUUAUUAGGAAGUAUAUACCUGACAGUUAAAUUUAUCACUUCUGUUGUCAUA